RNAcentral lists this ribosomal RNA (468 nucleotides) under uncultured bacterium. Its description in RNAcentral is "partial 16S ribosomal RNA". It matches the Rfam family "Bacterial small subunit ribosomal RNA", at positions 28 to 507 of the family's 1533-position model. The record is from RNAcentral.
GACGAACGCUGGCGGCAUGCUUAACACAUGCGAGUCGAACGGAAAGGCCCUGCUUUUGUGGGGUGCUCGAGUGGCGAACGGGUGAGUAACACGUGAGUAACCUGCCCUUGACUUUGGGAUAACUUCAGGAAACUGGGGCUAAUACCGGAUAGGAGCUCCUGCUGCAUGGUGGGGGUUGGAAAGUUUCGGCGGUUGGGGAUGGACUCGCGGCUUAUCAGCUUGUUGGUGGGGUAGUGGCUUACCAAGGCUUUGACGGGUAGCCGGCCUGAGAGGGUGACCGGCCACAUUGGGACUGAGAUACGGCCCAGACUCCUACGGGAGGCAGCAGUGGGGAAUAUUGCACAAUGGGCGGAAGCCUGAUGCAGCAACGCCGCGUGCGGGAUGACGGCCUUCGGGUUGUAAACCGCUUUCGCCUGUGACGAAGCGUGAGUGACGGUAAUGGGUAAAGAAGCACCGGCUAACUACGUG